This 256-nucleotide ribosomal RNA is filed under the name uncultured bacterium. RNAcentral's name for it is "partial 16S ribosomal RNA". It matches the Rfam family "Bacterial small subunit ribosomal RNA", at positions 524 to 776 of the family's 1533-position model. The record is from RNAcentral.
UACGUAGGGUGCAAGCGUUAAUCGGAAUUACUGGGCGUAAAGCGUGCGCAGGCGGUUUUGUAAGUUUGUCGUGAAAGCCCCGGGCUCAACCUGGGAAUUGCGAUGAAGACUGCAAGGCUUGAAUCUGGCAGAGGGGGGUAGAAUUCCACGGUGUAGCAGUGAAAUGCGUAGAGAUCGUAAGGAAGACCAGUGGCGAAGGCGGGUCGUCUGGACAGUUCCUGACACUGAGGCACGAAGGCCAGGGGGAGCAAACGGG